This 145-nucleotide small nuclear RNA is filed under the name Panthera leo (lion). RNAcentral's name for it is "U2 spliceosomal RNA (ENSPLOG00000010107.1)". It matches the Rfam family "U2 spliceosomal RNA". From Rfam's summary of the family: U2 is a small nuclear RNA (snRNA) component of the spliceosome (involved in pre-mRNA splicing). Lineage: Eukaryota; Metazoa; Chordata; Mammalia; Carnivora; Felidae. The record is from Rfam by way of RNAcentral. RNAcentral also lists the same sequence under 1 other name.
AUCGCUUCUCGGCCUUUUGGCUAAGAUCAAGUGUAGUAUCUGUUCUUAUCAGUUUAAUAAAAAUGAGUUUAAAUUUGCACCUUUUUGCUGAGAUAGUGUGGAGAUAAGGAAGAAUUAUAUCAUCAACAAUAUCAAGCUAUCUCUU